CCCUACACUGCACUACUAUCUUCUUUUGUUUUCUUGUCUUUAAACGGCCAAAAUCAACAACACAUUAAAAAAUAGAGCAACUCCCAUGUACCUAUUUCUCUCUCUUUCUUCUUUCAAUAAACACAAUCUAAACAAUAAAUACCGAUUUUCCCCUUGGAUUCUUUGGAGCACAGUCUCCCUCCAAUCUAGAAAGGAGGAAGAGAGGUCAUUUGUAUGGAUGUCCCUGUUGGGUUUUUUGAUAGCCUCUGGAGUUUUAUCUCUACCAAUUGGUUGUCUCAUUCAUUAGCAGGCCGAUAAACGUAAUACAUGAAAUCAGAUCUAAAACUGAAAUAUUAGCAAUAAAUCGGAGAUCAGAUCGUAACUAGCGGAACAUAUGUUUUCAUUUAUGAUGUGAGAUAUGAUGGGCAGAAUUGUGGUAAUAACCAAUCCGCUAGUUCUUCUAGCUGACGGCCUCCAAAGAAUCCAAGGGUAAAAUCGGUAUCUAUUGUUUAUAUAAUUAAGUGCAAAGGUCCAAAAAUGUCCCUCAUCUUUACCUCGAAAUCCCACCUACACCCUAAAGGAAACAAAUCAUGUAGUAAAAAUUGAAGACACCGGCCUAGUGCAAAAUUAGAUACCAGAUGACAAGGCAUCUCCUGAGGCUAUCAAUUUAAAUUGCUUAGGACCUACUGAAGAGAGCAGUGGAGUUGAGAAAUCAAAAGGGGUUGGAGGUUCUAUCUCUCUUGAUAGUGAUCAGGAGCUUCAAGCUGAUUGUUUAAUAAAGAAAUAUCCUAAAAACAAAUUAAGUAAAGAACAAAACUAACACCAAUUAAUCACUCAACAAAUGCCUAAACUAUAACAAAUAUCCUAAAAACAGAGACUUUUCUGUCCCAAUUCAUUUUAUUUCUUAAAAACCUAAAAUUCAAACACAUGUAUACAUAAUUUAUAUAUCAGGACAUACAAUCAUACAUAGAUUAACAUAGAUAGAAAAGAGAAACUCAUACCCGCAUUUGAUGAGGGAUAAAUUCGCAGAUCGAAGGGUUUUGAUACUUUAUAACUGAUCUUUCCCUCUCUAAAGACUUGGUUGUUUCUCUCUCCUCUAUUGAUUUUGAAGGAGAGAUGUGAAGAAGAAAGGAGAUAGAGAAACCAGAGAAACUCAUACCCGGACUUGGUUUUGUUUUUCUCUCCUCUCAUGAUUUCAGUUUUGUGAUUUUGGAACAGAGGAAGAAGAAAAGAGAGAGAAAAAGAA
This 1225-nucleotide long non-coding RNA is filed under the name Panax ginseng (ginseng). RNAcentral describes it as "long non-coding RNA (PGIN_LNC010452)". Lineage: Eukaryota; Viridiplantae; Streptophyta; Magnoliopsida; Apiales; Araliaceae. The record is from RNAcentral.